This 299-nucleotide signal recognition particle RNA is filed under the name Saimiri boliviensis boliviensis (Bolivian squirrel monkey). RNAcentral describes it as "Metazoan signal recognition particle RNA (ENSSBOG00000000222.1)". It matches the Rfam family "Metazoan signal recognition particle RNA". Rfam says of the family: The signal recognition particle (SRP) is a universally conserved ribonucleoprotein. It is involved in the co-translational targeting of proteins to membranes. The record is from RNAcentral. Lineage: Eukaryota; Metazoa; Chordata; Mammalia; Primates; Cebidae.
GCUGGGCACAGUGGCGUGUACCUGUGGUCCCAGCUACUUGGGAGGUUGAGGUGGGAGGAUCACCUAAGCCCAGGAGUUAUGGGCUAUAGUGCGCUAUGCUGAUCGGGUGUCCGCACUAAGUUUGGCAUCAAUAUGGUGACCUCCUGGGAGGAGGGGACCACCAGGUUGCCUAAGGAGGGGUGAACUGACCCAGGUCAGAAAUGGAGCAGGUCAAAACUCCCAUGAUGAUCAGUAGUGGGAUCGUGCCUGUGAAUAACCACUGCACUCCAGCCUGGGCACCAUAGCAAGACCCCGUCUCU